This 392-nucleotide ribosomal RNA is filed under the name uncultured bacterium. RNAcentral's name for it is "partial 16S ribosomal RNA". It matches the Rfam family "Bacterial small subunit ribosomal RNA", at positions 523 to 918 of the family's 1533-position model. The record is from RNAcentral.
AUACGGAGGAUCCGAGCGUUAUCCGGAUUUAUUGGGUUUAAAGGGUGCGCAGGCGGCCAUUUAAGUCAGCGGUUAAAUCGUGGGGCUCAACCCCAUUCUGCCGUUGAUACUGGGUGGCUUGAUUGCGGUCGAGGUUGGCGGAAUUCGUUGUGUAGCGGUGAAAUGCAUAGAUAUGACGAAGAACACCGAUUGCGUAGGCAGCUGACCAGACCGCAAAUGACGCUCAUGCACGAAAGUGCGGGGAUCGAACAGGAUUAGAUACCCUGGUAGUCCGCACAGUAAACGAUGAAUACUCGCUGUUUGCGAUACACGGUAAGCGGCCAAGCGAAAGCGUUAAGUAUUCCACCUGGGGAGUACGCCGGCAACGGUGAAACUUAAAGGAAUUGACGGGG